RNAcentral lists this ribosomal RNA (732 nucleotides) under uncultured Pseudomonadota bacterium. RNAcentral's name for it is "bacterial SSU rRNA". It matches the Rfam family "Bacterial small subunit ribosomal RNA", at positions 72 to 802 of the family's 1533-position model. The record is from RNAcentral. Lineage: Bacteria; Pseudomonadati; Pseudomonadota.
CUUGCUCCCUGGCGACGAGUGGCGGACGGGUGAGUAAUGCGUGGGAAUUUACCCAAAAGCGGGGGAUAACCCGGGGAAACUCGGGCUAAUACCGCAUACCCUCUACGGAGGAAAGCUGGGGACCCUUCGGGGCCUGGCGCUUUUGGAGGAGCCCACGUCCGAUUAGCUUGUUGGUGAGGUAAGAGCUCACCAAGGCGACGAUCGGUAGCUGGUCUGAGAGGACGAUCAGCCACACCGGAACUGAGACACGGUCCGGACUCCUACGGGAGGCAGCAGUGGGGAAUAUUGGACAAUGGGGGAAACCCUGAUCCAGCAAUGCCGCGUGUGUGAAGAAGGCCUGCGGGUUGUAAAGCACUUUCGGCCGGGAAGAAAAGCGGCGGGUUAAUAACCCGAUCGUCUUGACGUUACCGGCAGAAGAAGCACCGGCUAACUCCGUGCCAGCAGCCGCGGUAAUACGGAGGGUGCAAGCGUUAAUCGGAAUUACUGGGCGUAAAGCGCGCGUAGGUGGUUUGGUAAGUCGGGUGUGAAAGCCCCGGGCUCAACCUGGGAAUUGCAUUCGAUACUGCCUGACUAGAGUGUGGUAGAGGGAAGUGGAAUUCCGCAUGUAGCGGUGAAAUGCGUAGAGAUGCGGAGGAACACCAAUGGCGAAGGCAACUUCCUGGACCAACACUGACACUGAGGUGCGAAAGCGUGGGUAGCAAACAGGAUUAGAUACCCUGGUAGUCCACGCCG